This 200-nucleotide ribosomal RNA is filed under the name uncultured organism. RNAcentral's name for it is "partial small subunit ribosomal RNA". It matches the Rfam family "Bacterial small subunit ribosomal RNA", at positions 1182 to 1382 of the family's 1533-position model. The record is from RNAcentral.
ACGUCAAGUCCUCAUGGCCCUUACGGGCUGGGCUGCACACGUGCUACAAUGGCGGUGACAAUGGGCAGCCAACUCGCGAGAGUGCGCUAAUCCCAAAAAGCCGUCUCAGUUCGGAUUGCACUCUGCAACUCGGGUGCAUGAAGUUGGAAUCGCUAGUAAUCGUGGAUCAGCAUGCCACGGUGAAUACGUUCCCGGGCCUU